Photobacterium sp. is the source of this 95-nucleotide regulatory RNA element. It matches the Rfam family "Tryptophan operon leader". From Rfam's summary of the family: At least 6 amino acid operons are known to be regulated by attenuation. In each a leader sequence of 150-200 bp is found upstream of the first gene in the operon. This leader sequence can assume two different secondary structures known as the terminator and the anti-terminator structure. The record is from Rfam. NCBI's taxonomy places the organism in Bacteria, Pseudomonadati, Pseudomonadota, Gammaproteobacteria, Vibrionales, Vibrionaceae.
UUUUCUUGGUGGUGGCACUUCCCUCUGCGGGUGGUGUGAUUUGCUGUGCCUAACGGCCAAACAGACACAAGCCCGCUUACUGCGGGCUUUUUUAU